UCUUUCCGCGCGUGCGCGAGCGUCCGCUGUCACUCAGGUAGAACAGUCUCAAAUCGCACCGGCCGGGACCAGGCAGCCAAGAAACGCGGAGACAGACUACUGGGACUGCGACGUCUCCUCUCCUGUUCGCUGCGAUAUGCCGGCGUCGUGUUGAGCGGGCUGCGGACACAGACAGCCUGCCCGGCCCCACUGAGUGUUUGAUCCCCAUCCUCGCAGCUCUCUAGAGGACCAGAGUUGGCGGUGCAGCCCAGCGGAGCUUCGAAGCGACAUGUCCUCCAACAUUUUAGCCCAGCAAGUCUUGUGGCCCCUGAGGAUAUAACCCAGAGAGGGCUGCUUUCUGGGAUUUCUCGGCUGUGGUUCAAGUGGAGUACACACAGUUGAGACCCUGUCUGCCCUGGGCAGCUUUCUUGACCCUUGGGGGACCAGCUCACAAUAAAUCCUAGGCUUCUGUUGCUCCUUGCUGCCUAUCCAUAAGCAAUAAACCUGCUUCAGCUCAUUCA
Molecule: long non-coding RNA, 500 nt
Organism: Homo sapiens (human)
Lineage: Eukaryota; Metazoa; Chordata; Mammalia; Primates; Hominidae
Gene: MAHAC
Product: maintenance of histone H4K5 acetylation associated lncRNA
Exons: 3
Source: RefSeq, marked validated